ACCUAGCCCCGAUUGCCGCGACAUCCUUUUUUGCAAGGAUUAGAAAUGGCAAAAAAGAUAUAGCAGAAAGCGGGAUUAGCU
RNAcentral lists this small RNA (81 nucleotides) under Chryseobacterium arachidis. RNAcentral describes it as "Flavo-1 RNA". It matches the Rfam family "Flavo-1 RNA". The record is from RNAcentral. Lineage: Bacteria; Pseudomonadati; Bacteroidota; Flavobacteriia; Flavobacteriales; Weeksellaceae.